GCCGCAGUAUUUUAACUGUGCAAAGGUAGCAUAAUCAUUUGUUACUUAAUUAGUAACUUGUAUGAAUGGUUUGAUAAAAUGUGUUCUUUUUUUAUUUUUUAUUUAAAAUUUUAUAUUAGAGUCAAAAAGCUUUAAUUUUUUUAUUAGACGAUAAGACCCUAUAGAACUUUAAUGUCUUAUUCCUAUCUAUUUUUUGAUUUAUUGAUAUUUAUGUUUAUAGAUAUUUUUAUUGGGGUGAUAGAUAAUUUUAAUUAACUUUAUUUUUUAUUUUUCAUAGAUUAAUGAUUAUUUUGAUCCAAUUUUUUUGAUUAAAAGAUUAAGUUACCUUAGGGAUAACAGCGUAAUUUUAUUGGAGAGUUCUUAUUAAUAAUAAAGUUUGCGACCUCGAUGUUGGAUUAAA
Molecule: ribosomal RNA, 400 nt
Filed under: Orius atratus
Lineage: Eukaryota; Metazoa; Arthropoda; Insecta; Hemiptera; Anthocoridae
Description: partial 16S ribosomal RNA
Source: RNAcentral